UACGUAGGGUGCAAGCGUUAUCCGGAUUUAUUGGGUUUAAAGGGUGCGCAGGCGGCACGGCAAGCCGGCGGUCAAAUCGCGGGGCUCAACCCCGCCCAGCCGUCGGAACUGCCGGGCUAGAGUGGGCGAGAAGUGCGCGGAAUGCGUGGUGUAGCGGUGAAAUGCAUAGAUAUCACGCAGAACUCCGAUUGCGAAGGCAGCGCACCGGCGCCCUACUGACGCUCAGGCACGAAAGCGUGGGUAUCGAACAGG
RNAcentral lists this ribosomal RNA (252 nucleotides) under uncultured bacterium. RNAcentral describes it as "partial 16S ribosomal RNA". It matches the Rfam family "Bacterial small subunit ribosomal RNA", at positions 524 to 776 of the family's 1533-position model. The record is from RNAcentral.